GAGAUGCACCAUUUCACAACUUCAGCAAAAGCCAAAGCAGCCAACAAAGCCACAGCCCUAUCGGCUGUACUGGGCUCUGCCUUUUGGGCAGCUCGCCGGCCACUCCCCAAAAGCAGAGCAUUCCAUCCUUUCUCUUUUUAAACCCACGUCAUCAUCUGAUCAUAAUGGAAAUCAAUCUCCUCAAACCACCAUGCAAAGGCGUAUCCAUGGCAACCUCAAAAGGAAGGACACAGAGAUGAUGCUUCAGUGGCUGCAGCAGGAAAAGUUAUUUCAAGCUUCCUUUACAUUUUCAAGUCCUUACUCCCACCCAAGCCAACACCAGCAUUCCCACCUCUCAGCAGAUAACCUUGCUGAAAAAGAAAACUGGCCCUAUUAGGGCCCACCCCUUCCCCUCUCCUCUGAGGACUUGAUUUAGCAAUCGUCUUUUCUCUUGUGUCUUCAUUGCACCCUGUCUACUGGAUCUUACAUGGCAUCAGAAAACCCAUAAACAAGACUUCCAUUCUAGGAAAAACAAGUCCCUGCUACCUCUUCCACAAGCUGCCACCAUUCUGUAUUCUUCCUUUCUCUGCUGAACUACUCAAAGUGAGUACACAUUCUCUAUCUUCACUUCCCAUCUACUUCUCGAUCCAUUGCUAUCUGGCUCCAUCCCUACCACUCCACUGAAGCUGCUCACACUUUAAAAGAGCCCUGGUGACCCCAAUGUCCUACACAACCUCAAGGUGCAUUUCCCAAGCUCAUCCUAACUUGAUCUCCCUGUAGCAACUGAGAUUGUCAAUCCUUUUCCUGGAAUUUUCUCCUUUCCUAGCUUCCUGGGCAACAUUCUCUCCUACCCUUGCACGUCAAUCCUUCUCAUCUCCUCUGUCAUUAUUUUCAGCCUUCUGUAAGCGUGGCUGGGAGACCUCAACCAUUCCCACAACUUCAACUACCACUCAUACUUACUGCCCCUAGACAGAAACUCUUCUGAACUUCAGACUCAUAUCUCACUGUCUGCUAACUGCCACAGAGCCCUCAAGUUCAAUAUGACCCAAAACACACUUGGUAUCUCCCCCACCAAAAACAAACAAACAAAAAAAAGUUCUUCUUCUAUAUUCUCUCUUUGCUAUUGGCACCACCAUCCACUCAAAAUAGAAAACUGAGUCAUCCGCAACAACUCCCUCUCUUGUUCUCAACAACCAAUUUAGUCAUUAUGUCUGGUUAAUUCUGUUUCUCCAGUCUCUCUCAGAUUCAUCCUGUCCUCUCUAUCCCCACUGACCUAAUCCUUAGCUCAGCCCUAAACCAUGUCUAUGAUAUUACAAGAGUCUCCCGAUGUCCCUGAACCAGGUUCUCCCCCUUCAAUUUCCACAUUUAGCUUCCCAAAAUACAAUCAUGUCAUCUUCCUGCCUAAAAGUCUCCAGUGGCUUCUCUGCCCACAAAAUGAAAUCUUUUUAGCACUGCACUACAGGCCAUUAACAACCUGGCCUUGACCAAGCACAGUGGCUACACCUGUAAUCCUAGCACUCUGAGAGCCCAAGGCGGGCAGAUCACUUGAGGCCAGGAGUUUGAGAUCAGCCUGGACAACAUGGUGAAAGCCUGUCUCUACUAAAAAUACAAAAAUUAGCUGGGUGUGGUGGUGGUGCAUGCCUAUAGUACCAGUUACUCAGGAGGCUAAGUAGUCCCACCUGUAGUAGCUAUAGUCCCAACUACUCAGGAGGUUGCAGUGAGCCAAAAUCUCACCACCACACUCCAGCCUGGUUGAC
RNAcentral lists this long non-coding RNA (1736 nucleotides) under Homo sapiens (human). RNAcentral describes it as "DCTN1 antisense RNA 1". Lineage: Eukaryota; Metazoa; Chordata; Mammalia; Primates; Hominidae. The record is from RNAcentral.